RNAcentral lists this ribosomal RNA (489 nucleotides) under uncultured bacterium. RNAcentral describes it as "partial 16S ribosomal RNA". It matches the Rfam family "Bacterial small subunit ribosomal RNA", at positions 30 to 506 of the family's 1533-position model. The record is from RNAcentral.
AUUGAACGCUGGCGGCAGGCCUAACACAUGCAAGUCGAACGGUAACAGGAAGCAGCUUGCUGCUUCGCUGACGAGUGGCGGACGGGUGAGUAAUGUCUGGGAAGCUGCCUGAUGGGGGGGGAUAACUACUGGAAACGGUAGCUAAUACCGCAUAAUGUCGCAAGACCAAAGAGGGGGACCUUCGGGCCUCUUGCCAUCGGAUGUGCCCAGAUGGGAUUAGCUUGUUGGUGGGGUAACGGCUCACCAAGGCGACGAUCCCUAGCUGGUCUGAGAGGAUGACCAGCCCCCCUGGGCCUGGGCACCGGCCCAGCCCCCUACGGGGGGCAGCGGGGGGGAAUAUUGCCCAAUGGGGGCAAGCCUGAUGCAGCCAGGCCGCGUGUAUGAAGAAGGCCUUCGGGUUGUAAAGUACUUUCAGCGGGGAGGAAGGGAGUAAAGUUAAUACCUUUGCUCUUUGACUUUCCCCGCAGAAGAAGCCCCGGCUACCUCCGG